AUUGAACGCUGGCGGCAGGCCUAACACAUGCAAGUCGAGCGGAUGAAGGGAGCUUGCUCCUGGAUUCAGCGGCGGACGGGUGAGUAAUGCCUAGGAAUCUGCCUGGUAGUGGGGGAUAACGUCCGGAAACGGGCGCUAAUACCGCAUACGUCCUGAGGGAGAAAAUGGGGGAUCUUCGGACCUCACGCUAUCAGAUGAGCCUAGGUCGGAUUAGCUAGUUGGUGGGGUAAAGGCCUACCAAGGCGACGAUCCGUAACUGGUCUGAGAGGAUGAUCAGUCACACUGGAACUGAGACACGGUCCAGACUCCUACGGGAGGAAGCAGUGGGGAAUAUUGGACAAUGGGCGAAAGCCUGAUCCAGCCAUGCCGCGUGUGUGAAGAAGGUCUUCGGAUUGUAAAGCACUUUAAGUUGGGAGGAAGGGCAGUAAGUUAAUACCUUGCUGUUUUGACGUUACCAACAGAAUAAGCACCGGCUAACUUCGUG
RNAcentral lists this ribosomal RNA (484 nucleotides) under uncultured bacterium. RNAcentral describes it as "partial 16S ribosomal RNA". It matches the Rfam family "Bacterial small subunit ribosomal RNA", at positions 30 to 507 of the family's 1533-position model. The record is from RNAcentral.